This is a long non-coding RNA of Anguilla anguilla (European eel), 700 nucleotides long. RefSeq lists it as uncharacterized. The transcript has 3 exons. NCBI's taxonomy places the organism in Eukaryota, Metazoa, Chordata, Actinopteri, Anguilliformes, Anguillidae. The record is from RefSeq and is a predicted model, not a curated record.
UUUUUUUACAGAAAAUCUCCGCGCUGAAUUAAAUUUAGCUGGCUGCUGUCAACCGCCGUGUCAUGUGCAAGCGAAGAGGUCGAUGGCUCGUGGGGACCAAGAAUGUCACUGGACCAAGGGGCCUGUCUAAGCUGUCUUGGAUUUGACGGAGAUUGACUUUUAAAUGGCCUGAAAGUGCUGAUCUGUGGUUCGGGAAAAAUCGAGCAUGGAUUGCUUAGGCACGUCUCGCGCACCGGAGAGCAUUUAGAUGGGAGACUGACCGAUUUCACUAGUUUACUACAGCCAAUAACAGCAUGCGCCCCAGACGAACAUCAUUAAUUAUUAACGCGAGCUCACCUAAUUCCUCCACUUUCUACUUUCAUGUGCACUCCAGAAAGCCUGUUUAAAGUGAAUUAUUCUGUUGCCGUUUUCCCAAAACACACCCUAUAAAUGAAGAAGGAAUGUGCUUCACUCACAAGACAUUAAGGGGCCUUCUGUAGCAUUAACAAGACAUUGAUCAGUGCUCUAUAAGAAAGCCCCAAGCAAAAUGCAUUUAAAGACCAGGAUGCCUCCCAAUUUACCAUAAGAGCUCUUUCGUCGUUUCCAGGAUCAUAAUGGCUUCCUUGACUUUCAUUGGCACAACUCUGAUCUGAUCCUGAUGUUGACGAACACCAAUAACAGACUCCAAACGCGAUCAGAAACCUAGAAAAGAUAAUGAAAC